CCUACGUGUGACUGCAGUGGGGAAUAUUGGGCAAUGGGCGAAAGCCUGACCCAGCAACGCCGCGUGAAGGAAGAAGGCUUUCGGGUUGUAAACUUCUUUUGCCGGGGAAGAGCAGAAGAUGGUACCUGUCCACUAAGCUACGGCUAACUCCGUGCCGGCAGCCGCGGUAAUACGUAGGUGGCAAGCGUUGUCCGGAUUAACUGGGAGUAAAGGGCGUGUAGCCGGGCUGACAAGUCAGAUGUGAACUCCCCGGGCUCAACCCUCGAACUGCAUUUGAAACUGUUUGGCUUGAGUAUCGGAGAGGCAGGUGGAAUUCCUGGUGUAGCGGUGAAAUGCGUAGAGAUUAGGAGGAACACCAGUGGCGAAGGCGGCCUCCUGGACGACGACUGACGGUGAGGUGCGAAAGCGUGGGGAGCAAACAGGAUUAGAUACCCGGGUAGUC
This 442-nucleotide ribosomal RNA is filed under the name uncultured bacterium. RNAcentral's name for it is "partial 16S ribosomal RNA". It matches the Rfam family "Bacterial small subunit ribosomal RNA", at positions 338 to 795 of the family's 1533-position model. The record is from RNAcentral.